This is a small nuclear RNA of Nannospalax galili (Upper Galilee mountains blind mole rat), 103 nucleotides long. NCBI's taxonomy places the organism in Eukaryota, Metazoa, Chordata, Mammalia, Rodentia, Spalacidae. The record is from Ensembl.
GUGCUUGCUUCGGCAGCACAUAUACCAAAAUUGGAAAGAUGCAGAGAUUAGCUGGCCCUUGUGCAAGGAUGACAGGAAAAUUUAUGAAGCAUUCCCUAUUAAG